RNAcentral lists this ribosomal RNA (430 nucleotides) under uncultured archaeon. Its description in RNAcentral is "bacterial SSU rRNA". It matches the Rfam family "Archaeal small subunit ribosomal RNA", at positions 474 to 903 of the family's 1478-position model. The record is from RNAcentral.
UACCUGCAGCUCGAGUGGUAACCGCUAUUAUUGGGCCUAAAGCGUCCGUAGCCGGUUUGGUAAAUAUCUGGGUAAAUCGUGAGGCUUAACUUCACGAAUUUCGGAUAGACUGCCAGACUUGGGAUCGGGGGAGGUCAGAGGUACUCCAGGGGUAGCGGUGAAAUGUUGUAAUCCUUGGAGGACCACCGGUAGCGAAGGCGUCUGACUAGAACGAGUCCGACGGUGAGGGACGAAGCCCUGGGGCGCAAAACCCGGAUUAGAUACCCGGGUAGUCCAGGGUGUAAACGAUGUGGGCUUUGUAUUGGAGGUCCCACGUGGCGUCCAGUGCAGAAGAGAAGUUGUUAAGCCCACCGCCUGGGAAGUACGGUCGCAAGGCUGAAACUUAAAGGAAUUGGCGGGGGAGCACAGCAACGGGAGGAGCGUGCGGUUU